CCUACGGGAGGCUGCAGUGGGGAAUAUUGGACAAUGGGCGAAAGCCUGAUCCAGCCAUGCCGCGUGUGUGAAGAAGGCCUUCGGGUUGUAAAGCACUUUCAGUGGGGAAGAAAGCCUUGGGGCUAAUACCCUCGAGGAAGGACAUCACCCACAGAAGAAGCACCGGCUAACUCCGUGCCAGCAGCCGCGGUAAUACGGAGGGUGCGAGCGUUAAUCGGAAUUACUGGGCGUAAAGCGCGCGUAGGCGGUCUGAUAAGCCGGUUGUGAAAGCCCCGGGCUCAACCUGGGAACGGCAUCCGGAACUGUCAGGCUAGAGUGCAGGAGAGGAAGGUAGAAUUCCCGGUGUAGCGGUGAAAUGCGUAGAGAUCGGGAGGAAUACCAGUGGCGAAGGCGGCCUUCUGGACUGACACUGACGCUGAGGUGCGAAAGCGUGGGUAGCAAACAGGAUUAGAUACCCUAGUGUC
This 464-nucleotide ribosomal RNA is filed under the name Vreelandella stevensii. RNAcentral's name for it is "partial 16S ribosomal RNA". It matches the Rfam family "Bacterial small subunit ribosomal RNA", at positions 338 to 795 of the family's 1533-position model. Lineage: Bacteria; Pseudomonadati; Pseudomonadota; Gammaproteobacteria; Oceanospirillales; Halomonadaceae. The record is from RNAcentral.